AACUCUGAAAACCCUUUACUUGAAGUUAUAUUAAUUGUUGAACGACAUCGAUAUCGCACCAGUCCCUGUGGAGACGAUAAAAAUAUACUUACUUUUGUACAUCAACAAAAUGGCGCCGUUGCCGGGGACUGGCAUUUAGAUAUUGGAGCAUAUCAACAAUUUAUAUUCUUUUAAGUAUUUGUAUAUAUUUGUUUAUAUUGUAUAGUUUUUCUUGCACUAAUCCUUCUUUGCUAGACAAAGAAAGUUGUUUUUCUUGUUUGUUGAAUCCUUUUUCAGAUUCCCCAUUAAAAGUNNNNNUGGUUAUUACAACUUCUAUAUUUCGGGUUAGUAUGAAUCAUAUCAACAGUGUCCUCCUUAUAAUUAUGGGCAAACUUCAGAGGCUAGAUUGGAGGAGACCAUGAUUAAAUUCAUGGAAAUGCAGCAACAACAAAUGCAACAGAUGCAAGACCAGCACCAACAAUAUCUGAAAAACAGUCUUGCACGGGCCAAAAAUUUGGAAAAUCAGCUUGUUCAGUUGGCUAAACAGUUAGCCAAUAACAAUAACCAAGGAGAAACAUUUCAAACCAACACACAUACCACUCCUGACGAGAAAGAUAAUAAUCCAA
Molecule: long non-coding RNA, 605 nt
Filed under: Trifolium pratense (red clover)
Lineage: Eukaryota; Viridiplantae; Streptophyta; Magnoliopsida; Fabales; Fabaceae
Description: long non-coding RNA (TPRA_LNC010099)
Source: RNAcentral